RNAcentral lists this ribosomal RNA (253 nucleotides) under uncultured bacterium. RNAcentral's name for it is "partial 16S ribosomal RNA". It matches the Rfam family "Bacterial small subunit ribosomal RNA", at positions 524 to 776 of the family's 1533-position model. The record is from RNAcentral.
UACGGAGGGUGCAAGCAUUAAUCGGAAUUAUUGGGCGUAAAGGGCGCGUAGGCGGUUUUGUAAGUCAGGUGUGAAAUUCCGAAGCUCAACUUCGGAGCUGCAUUUGAAACUACAAGACUAGAGGAUUGGCGGAGAAAAUGGAAUUCCACGUGUAGCGGUGAAAUGCGUAGAUAUGUGGAAGAACACCGGUGGCGAAGGCGGUUUUCUAGCUUAUACCUGACGCUGAGGCGCGAGAGCAAGGGGAGCAAACAGG